This 250-nucleotide ribosomal RNA is filed under the name uncultured prokaryote. Its description in RNAcentral is "partial 16S ribosomal RNA". It matches the Rfam family "Bacterial small subunit ribosomal RNA", at positions 524 to 773 of the family's 1533-position model. The record is from RNAcentral.
UACGGAAGGUCCGGGCGUUAUCCGGAUUUAUUGGGUUUAAAGGGAGCGCAGGCGGGCUUUUAAGCGUGACGUGAAAUGUCCCGGCUCAACCGGGGAGUUGCGUCGCGAACUGGGGGCCUUGAGUGGGUACGACGUUUGCGGAAUUCGUGGUGUAGCGGUGAAAUGCUUAGAUAUCACGAAGAACUCCGAUUGCGAAGGCAGCAGACGAGUCCCUAACUGACGCUAAUGCUCGAAAGUGCGGGUAUCGAAC